AACGAACGCUGGCGGCAUGCCUAACACAUGCAAGUCGAACGAGACCUUCGGGUCUAGUGGCGCACGGGUGCGUAACGCGUGGGAACCUGCCCUUAGGUUCGGAAUAACUCCCCGAAAGGGGUGCUAAUACCGGAUAAUGUCUUCGGACCAAAGAUUUAUCGCCUUUGGAUGGGCCCGCGUUGGAUUAGCUAGUUGGUAGGGUAAAGGCCUACCAAGGCGACGAUCCAUAGCUGGUCUGAGAGGAUGAUCAGCCACACUGGGACUGAGACACGGCCCAGACUCCUACGGGAGGCAGCAGUGGGGAAUAUUGGACAAUGGGCGAAAGCCUGAUCCAGCAAGGCCGCGUGAGUGAUGAAGGCCUUAGGGUUGUAAAGCUCUUUUACCCGGGAUGAUAAUGACAGUACCGGGAGAAUAAGCUCCGGCUAACUCCGU
RNAcentral lists this ribosomal RNA (432 nucleotides) under uncultured bacterium. Its description in RNAcentral is "partial 16S ribosomal RNA". It matches the Rfam family "Bacterial small subunit ribosomal RNA", at positions 29 to 506 of the family's 1533-position model. The record is from RNAcentral.